Molecule: ribosomal RNA, 254 nt
Filed under: uncultured bacterium
Lineage: Bacteria
Description: partial 16S ribosomal RNA
Rfam family: Bacterial small subunit ribosomal RNA
Source: RNAcentral
UACGGGGGGAGCAAGCGUUGUUCGGAUUUACUGGGCGUAAAGGGCGCGUAGGCGGCCACUGCAAGUCAGUUGUGAAAUCUCCGGGCUUAACCCGGAAAGGUCAACUGAUACUGCAGGGCUAGAGUGCGGAAGGGGCUACUGGAAUUCUCGGUGUAGCGGUGAAAUGCGUAGAUAUCGAGAGGAACACCUGCGGCGAAGGCGGGUAGCUGGGCCGACACUGACGCUGAGGCGCGAAAGCCAGGGGAGCGAACGGG